AACGAACGCUGGCGGCGCGCCUAACACAUGCAAGUCGAACGAGAAUCCGGGGCAACCCGGUAGUAAAGUGGCAAACGGGUGAGGAAUACAUGGGUAACCUACCCUUGAGAAGGGAAUAACCCGCCGAAAGGUGAGCUAAAUACCCUAUACGCUAUCUUUUUUUCGAAAAGGAUAGGAAAGCCGGGUCGAGGACCUGGUACUCAAGGAGGGGCUCAUGUCCUAUCAGCUUGUUGGNGGGUAACGGCCUACCAAGGCUACGACGGGUAGCUGGUCUGAGAGGAUGAUCAGCCACACUGGCACUGAGAUACGGGCCAGACUCCUACGGGAGGCAGCAGUGAGGAAUAUUGCGCAAUGGGCGAAAGCCUGACGCAGCGACGCCGCGUGGGGGAUGAAGGUUUUCGGAUUGUAAACCCUUUCAUGAGGAAAGAUAAAGUGGUAACGACUUAGACGGUA
RNAcentral lists this ribosomal RNA (453 nucleotides) under uncultured bacterium. RNAcentral describes it as "bacterial SSU rRNA". It matches the Rfam family "Bacterial small subunit ribosomal RNA", at positions 29 to 477 of the family's 1533-position model. The record is from RNAcentral.